AUUGAACGCUGGCGGCAGGCCUAACACAUGCAAGUCGAACGAGUGGCGGACGGGUGAGUAAGGUCUGGGAAACUGCCGGUUGGAGGGGGAUAACUACUGGAAACGUUAGCUACUACCGCAUACCAUCGGAUGUGCCAGGAGGGGAUUAGCUAGUAGGUGGGGUAAAGGCUCACCUAGGCGACGAUCCCUAGCUGGUCUGAGAGGAUGACCAGCCACACUGGAACUGAGACACGGUCCAGACUCCUACGGGAGGCAGCAGUGGGGAAUAUUGCACAAUGGGCGCAAGCCUGAUGCAGCCAUGCCGCGUGUAUGAAGAAGGCCUUCGGGUUGUAAAGUACUUUCAGCGGGGAGGCGUUACCCGCAGAAGAAGCACCGGCUAACUCCGUGCCAGCAGCCGCGGUAAUUC
This 406-nucleotide ribosomal RNA is filed under the name uncultured bacterium. RNAcentral describes it as "partial 16S ribosomal RNA". It matches the Rfam family "Bacterial small subunit ribosomal RNA", at positions 30 to 526 of the family's 1533-position model. The record is from RNAcentral.